Molecule: long non-coding RNA, 1309 nt
Organism: Nannospalax galili (Upper Galilee mountains blind mole rat)
Lineage: Eukaryota; Metazoa; Chordata; Mammalia; Rodentia; Spalacidae
Exons: 3
Source: RefSeq, a predicted model, not a curated record
CAUCCCCUUUCUCGAACUUUCUGGCCUUAGCUGGGGUCUGCCUUCUAGUCCCUGCCCUUGUACUAUGGCUGUCACUCUGGCCAGUGGACCCUUCUAAGCAGUCAUCUUUGAGCCUGUUUAUAAGGCCUGAAGUUUUGUUUUAGCCAAAAGGGUGCUCUGCUGCCAGCAGUAUGUCUGGAAUGUUAUUUACUCGGUACAUUUCUGUGGCUUUUCUUAUAGCACUGCACUUGCCAGAGCCAGGGCUCAUUUGCUAGAGAAGGCUGUGCAGUUUGUCUUUCUUGGUAAGGGAAGGGGAGCCUAGCUCCUGUGCCUGGAGGUUCCCUGCCUCUCAUCCUUCUUACAUUUCUGUCUGCGUUAGUAAUCUGCACUAUUCUUGGUGCCUGUAGCACUGCACCCCUUUGUCCUCAGUGCCUCAACUCUACUUUGAAUAUCUGCAGUUUCUGCGGGCUCUUUGGGAAGCCUGGCAGAUGCUUUUCCAUUUGCGUGCCUGCCCUGUUAUUACUUCACAUGAAAGCUGUCUAUUUUGGCAGCCCUGACUCCCGCGAUUGCAAUUUAGUUCUCCAAGCUGAAUGAGUGAUAUUGUGUAAGGGAAAUAUAGGUGGGGUUUUUCUGUAAUGGUGGCUGUGGGGGCGGACCAAAAAUCUGCAAGCAGUCUUGGCUUGUUGCAGAGCUGACAUGAUGGCAAACAAAUGGCUUUUGAAAGAAGGAAGCGGAAUGCAGUUUCUGACUUUGGAAGGGUUCAUAACCGGCUCGCUUUAAUUGAUAGAUUUUUUUUCUAAAGAGCAAAUUCUUCAUUAGAAAGACUGGAAACAAGUCCUAGAUAAUGCUGAGUACUGAAGUGGAAGCAAAGGAGGGGUCUGUGUGUCUCUUCUUUCUGCAGCCCUUCUUCCUCCCACGUCAUCUCUGCAAUUUUUACCAUGGUCUUUGGAGUUUCAGAAGGUGUAGAAAUGAGAUUAGAUGACUCUCCCCAGCUGGUGCCAGCCCUGAGGCCCUUUGCACACCUGGAAAGGCCCACACAUCAUCUUCCUCUCUCAGAGCAUCUUAACAGGUAUGAGCCGUCUCUGUGGGACCCGACUCUGCCAUGAAAUUGCUCAUGCCUGGUUUGGCUAGCCAUCGGUGCACGCAAUUGGACAGAGGAGUGGCUCAGUGAAGGGUUCGCCACUCACUUGGAAGAUGUAUUUUGGGCUGAAGCACAGCAGCUGGCCCCCCAUGAGGCCCAGGAGCAGCAAGAGCUGAGAGCUUGCCUGCGCUGGCUCCGCCUGAAGGAUGAGCUGCGGAACUCCCCAGAGGAGAUGCACGUGUUAAGGUA